Molecule: long non-coding RNA, 746 nt
Organism: Gallus gallus (chicken)
Lineage: Eukaryota; Metazoa; Chordata; Aves; Galliformes; Phasianidae
Source: Ensembl
AGGAGGCGGGCCGGUGACAAAGGUUGAAUGGAACUUGUGCAGCUGUUUUUUACCCUUGCAGUCUGCUGUGUGCCCGUGCUGCGGGUUGAGCGGUGCCGUUGUGCGGGGCGGACGUUCGGUGUGUGCAUGUUAUUUGGCCUGAAGCGGGAUAGAAUCCAUCACUCUCAGAAACCUGCCUUUCUAUAAACCUUUUUAUAGAUACAGAUAAGCCUUUUUAUAAACUCCACAGAUGUUUUGUCUGUGGACUUCAUAUCCUCAGACCACUGAGAGGAAUGCAAGCUACAUAGAAGAAGAUACAAUAGAUGGGCUUAUAUUUUAGGUAAGGCUUUUCCAAAUCCAUAAUUUUAUGUUAAAAGUACUGAAGAUGUAGGGACUCCAAAUGCACAAUAACGCAAGGGCAAUCUAGGAUGGGAGAGAGAGAAAGAAGCUUUAUAGACGCCGAUUGUAGUGAGAGCAUGUUUAGAUAGCAUCUCCUUUCUGCCCCCGUUCUCUGCCCAGGCAUUGCAUGAGCCCAGCCUGGGAUGGACGGACUCCUUCCAUAGCAGUUAACGCCACAGUGCUAGGAAGGAAUUGACCGGUGAAGAUGAGACAGUAAGCAGAAAAAGCGAAUGUGUAGGAGAAUAAAAGAUAAAUAAAAAUGGACGGUAGCAGUAGAGGAGCCUCCCUCAUAUUUGAGCUAUCAUCGCUUCACGUGAAGCAUCAGCCUAGAAUUGUGAGAAGGAACAGCCUCCGGAGCUGAGGGAGGG